This 1130-nucleotide long non-coding RNA is filed under the name Prunus dulcis (almond). RNAcentral describes it as "sRNA ncRNA". Lineage: Eukaryota; Viridiplantae; Streptophyta; Magnoliopsida; Rosales; Rosaceae. The record is from RNAcentral.
UUGCCCUCUGUACCAAAAUUUUAUUUUAUUAUUAUAUUGCUUUUUACCCUAAAUGACUAUUAUUUUGCAAUGUCACAUGGAUUUAAAUGGAAAAAAUAUAUUUUAAACAUAAUUAGAAUUUAAAAAUUGUAUUACGAGCUAAAAUAUUAUUUUUAAAAAUUAAAAAUUAAAAGAAAAAAACCUACAAUUCUCUCUCUCUCUCUCUCUCUGUGUUCCAAGCACCAGCGCCAACCACCUAAAAAAACAAAAAAAACCAGUGAACCUGCCCCAUCCCUUUUUCUUUCUUAUUUUAAAUCACAACCACCCAUCCCCAAGUAGUGCCGCCAACCCCACUCUUAUCAGUACAACCACCCCAAAUUGAAUCACAUGAUGCUUAUGCUCUUACUUCUUAUGCCUUCAGAGAUCUUCCAGAUUAACUUGCAUUGCCUCAAUAUGCAUCUCUUGGAAUAUUAUCUUGUCCCACCAAAAGAAUAAAAUACAAAUAUGGCUAAAACCCAAACCCAGAAAGAAGGCUUUUUCAAAUUUCAUUUAUAAAAAAAAAAGAAUUAGGAGGAAAAAAAUCAAAAUAGAGAAAGUGGGUAUGAUUAUUAAUCUAAAAUUUGUGGGAAGUUCAUGAUGAAAAGGGUACAUGAACAUUUCUUUGUAAAAUUUUGUAGAAAAUUGGAAUCUGUAAAAAACUAAAAUAAAAGAAAUAUUAGGAAAAAAAAAAGGGGAGGAAAUUCAUUCAUCCCAGCCCACUACCUCCCCUUGAUUCUAACUACCCUAGCCUGCUAGCCACCCCUCCACCACAACCAUCCCACCCCACACCCACCUGAAACCCAACCUAGAUCAAAUUCAAUUUUGGGUAUGUCAGUCUAGUUAAAAGAAGAAAGAAAAACCCAGAUCUGGAACUUCAGUUUCGUGGAUGUCAAAGAGAGAAGGGGAGAAGAGAGAGAAAGAGAAGGGUUGGGUGGUGGGAGGAGAGGUAGAGAGAGGGUGCCAGAUGUGAGGUUGUUGGCUGUCGCAUAGAGAGAUAAGGAUAGGAGAGAUAAAGAAGGAGAAGGGAGAAGAUGAAAUUGAAGCUCACUCGCGGGUUGUGAUUUUUCUACUGGAUAAAAGAAACCCAUAUGUAACUUACUAAUGUUAGCCAU